This 20-nucleotide microRNA is filed under the name Brachypodium distachyon (stiff brome). RNAcentral describes it as "bdi-miR7776-3p.1 (MIR7776)". The record is from RNAcentral. Lineage: Eukaryota; Viridiplantae; Streptophyta; Magnoliopsida; Poales; Poaceae.
AAGAUAUCAGAGGGCAACGC